GAUAAACGCUGGCGGCGUGCCUAAUACAUGCAAGUCGAGCGAACAGACGAGGAGCUUGCUCCUCUGACGUUAGCGGCGGACGGGUGAGUAACACGUGGAUAACCUACCUAUAAGACUGGGAUAACUUCGGGAAACCGGAGCUAAUACCGGAUAAUAUAUUGCACCGCAUGGUUCAAUAGUGAAAGACGGUUUUGCUGUCACUUAUAGAUGGAUCCGCGCCGCAUUAGCUAGUUGGUAAGGUAACGGCUUACCAAGGCAACGAUGCGUAGCCGACCUGAGAGGGUGAUCGGCCACACUGGAACUGAGACACGGUCCAGACUCCUACGGGAGGCAGCAGUAGGGAAUCUUCCGCAAUGGGCGAAAGCCUGACGGAGCAACGCCGCGUGAGUGAUGAAGGUCUUCGGAUCGUAAAACUCUGUUAUUAGGGAAGAACAAAUGUGUAAGUAACUAUGCACGUCUUGACGGUACCUAAUCAGAAAGCCACGGCUAACUACGUG
This 497-nucleotide ribosomal RNA is filed under the name uncultured bacterium. RNAcentral's name for it is "partial 16S ribosomal RNA". It matches the Rfam family "Bacterial small subunit ribosomal RNA", at positions 28 to 507 of the family's 1533-position model. The record is from RNAcentral.